AUUGAACGCUGGCGGCAGGCCUAACACAUGCAAGUCGAGCGGCAGCGGGAAAGUAGCUUGCUACUUUUGCCGGCGAGCGGCGGACGGGUGAGUAAUGCCUGGGAAAUUGCCCAGUCGAGGGGGAUAACAGUUGGAAACGACUGCUAAUACCGCAUACGCCCUACGGGGGAAAGCAGGGGACCUUCGGGCCUUGCGCGCUUGGAUAUGCCCAGGUGGGAUUAGCUAGUUGGUGAGGUAAUGGCUCACCAAGGCGACGAUCCCUAGCUGGUCUGAGAGGAUGAUCAGCCACACUGGAACUGGGACACGGUCCAGACUCCUACGGGAGGCAGCAGUGGGGAAUAUUGCACAAUGGGGGAAACCCUGAUGCAGCCACGCCGCGUGUGUGAAGAAGGCCUUCGGGUUGUAAAGCACUUUCAGCGAGGAGGAAAGGUUGAUGCCUAAUACGCAUCAACUGUGACGUUACUCGCAGAAGAAGCACCGGCUAACUCCGCGCCAGCCGCCGCUGUAA
RNAcentral lists this ribosomal RNA (508 nucleotides) under uncultured bacterium. RNAcentral describes it as "partial 16S ribosomal RNA". It matches the Rfam family "Bacterial small subunit ribosomal RNA", at positions 30 to 523 of the family's 1533-position model. The record is from RNAcentral.